Molecule: ribosomal RNA, 363 nt
Filed under: Triticum aestivum (bread wheat)
Lineage: Eukaryota; Viridiplantae; Streptophyta; Magnoliopsida; Poales; Poaceae
Description: partial small subunit ribosomal RNA
Source: RNAcentral
AUGAUGCUUAGGUUAGAAUGUAUGAAACUUCGCCUUGUAUCGGUGUUUUCAGCUGUCAAAUACCAGUUGGUGAUUCUUCAUUCGGUAAGGCCCUCACCGUGGACAAGGACCUGGUCUGCCUCAAGCUGCUCGAGACCCUCCUGUGGCGCUGCCAGUAUCAAGCAUGGCAGGCUCUCUCUCAUGAGAAAUAAGAGACGGGGAAGUUGUCUGAAGCAUUUAGAAGGGGAGACUUCUGUGGGGCGCUUCCAAGCCCAUGAUAUCAAGAAGCUUCAAAUUAUGAUGACCAUCAGACCGUUUAGUUUUCUAGCCCGGUCUAGAUGCUAUGUUAUGAUUUCCAUUCUCGUGGAAGUCACACCACCCUAG